RNAcentral lists this long non-coding RNA (219 nucleotides) under Spirodela polyrhiza (greater duckweed). RNAcentral describes it as "long non-coding RNA (SPOL_LNC000634)". Lineage: Eukaryota; Viridiplantae; Streptophyta; Magnoliopsida; Alismatales; Araceae. The record is from RNAcentral.
UGAGGACUAUUAUGAAAUUAUGACAAUAUCUUAGGCCCUAAAAAACGGAGGGAUUUUUGGAUAAUUGUCAAUAUUGCUUAAAAGCCAUAAAAAUGGCACAUCCCCCUUUCUCCCAUGAAAAUAGAGCUAGGAAUUAUAGAGAGCAUAUCAAGAUUAUCUCAUCUUGGUUGGGAAAUGAGCCCUUUUUUUGGGCAACAUGAGGGCUUUUAGGAAAUUAUG